GAAAACUUUAAAGCAUAAGAAUAUGUGGCCGAUGUUUGAAAUCUCUACAAGGGUUGAAAUCACGUCAACCAGGACGCACCGUUUUGUUUUUUUGAAGCCCCCACUCCACCGGACCGUAUCUCGACGAAUUUGGGGGUUGUUUUUGAAUUUUUUUUUAUAUUAAUAAAAUUUUAAUAAAAAAAAGUAUUAAAAAUG
Molecule: long non-coding RNA, 195 nt
Organism: Bactrocera latifrons
Lineage: Eukaryota; Metazoa; Arthropoda; Insecta; Diptera; Tephritidae
Exons: 2
Source: RefSeq, a predicted model, not a curated record